UCAGGACGAACGCUGGCGGCGUGCUUAACACAUGCAAGUCGAACGAUGAUGCCCAGCUUGCUGGGUGGAUUAGUGGCGAACGGGUGAGUAACACGUGAGUAACCUGCCCCUGACUCUGGGAUAAGCGUUGGAAACGACGUCUAAUACUGGAUAUGAUCACUGGCCGCAUGGUCUGGUGGUGGAAAGAUUUUUUGGUUGGGGAUGGACUCGCGGCCUAUCAGCUUGUUGGUGAGGUAAUGGCUCACCAAGGCGACGACGGGUAGCCGGCCUGAGAGGGUGACCGGCCACACUGGGACUGAGACACGGCCCAGACUCCUACGGGAGGCAGCAGUGGGGAAUAUUGCACAAUGGGCGAAAGCCUGAUGCAGCAACGCCGCGUGAGGGAUGACGGCCUUCGGGUUGUAAACCUCUUUUAGUAGGGAAGAAGCGAAAGUGACGGUACCUGCAGAAAAAGCACCGGCUAACUACGUGCCAGCAGCCGCGGUAAUACGUAGGGUGCAAGCGUUGUCCGGAAUUAUUGGGCGUAAAGAGCUCGUAGGCGGUUUGUCGCGUCUGCUGUGAAAUCCCGAGGCUCAACCUCGGGCUUGCAGUGGGUACGGGCAGACUAGAGUGCGGUAGGGGAGAUUGGAAAUUCCUGGUGUAGCGGUGGAAUGCGCAGAUAUCAGGAGGAACACCGAUGGCGAAGGCAGAUCUCUGGGCCGUAACUGACGCUGAGGAGCGAAAGCAUGGGGAGCGAACAGGAUUAGAUACCCUGGUAGUCCAUGCCGUAAACGUUGGGCGCUAGAUGUAGGGACCUUUCCACGGUUUCUGUGUCGUAGCUAACGCAUUAAGCGCCCCGCCUGGGGAGUACGGCCGCAAGGCUAAAACUCAAAGGAAUUGACGGGGGCCCGCACAAGCGGCGGAGCAUGCGGAUUAAUUCGAUGCAACGCGAAGAACCUUACCAAGGCUUGACAUACACCGGAAACGGCCAGAGAUGGUCGCCCCCUUGUGGUCGGUGUACAGGUGGUGCAUGGUUGUCGUCAGCUCGUGUCGUGAGAUGUUGGGUUAAGUCCCGCAACGAGCGCAACCCUCGUUCUAUGUUGCCAGCGGGUUAUGCCGGGGACUCAUAGGAGACUGCCGGGGUCAACUCGGAGGAAGGUGGGGAUGACGUCAAAUCAUCAUGCCCCUUAUGUCUUGGGCUUCACGCAUGCUACAAUGGCCGGUACAAAGGGCUGCGAUACCGUAAGGUGGAGCGAAUCCCAAAAAGCCGGUCUCAGUUCGGAUUGAGGUCUGCAACUCGACCUCAUGAAGUCGGAGUCGCUAGUAAUCGCAGAUCAGCAACGCUGCGGUGAAUACGUUCCCGGGCCUUGUACACACCGCCCGUCAAGUCAUGAAAGUCGGUAACACCCGAAGCCGGUGGCCUAACCCUUGUGGAAGGAGCC
Molecule: ribosomal RNA, 1421 nt
Filed under: Curtobacterium flaccumfaciens
Lineage: Bacteria; Bacillati; Actinomycetota; Actinomycetes; Micrococcales; Microbacteriaceae
Description: bacterial SSU rRNA
Rfam family: Bacterial small subunit ribosomal RNA
Source: RNAcentral